AGAUUGUGGUGUGGGCAAUCUCUUUGCAGGUCCUUAAACCUAUUCCAUGCUUCCUUCAGUGUUUCAUUAGGUUCAUGUUAAAAGGUAGCAAGUUUAUGUCAUAUUU
Non-coding RNA from Beta vulgaris subsp. vulgaris (sugar beet), 106 nucleotides. The record is from Rfam. Lineage: Eukaryota; Viridiplantae; Streptophyta; Magnoliopsida; Caryophyllales; Amaranthaceae.